RNAcentral lists this ribosomal RNA (582 nucleotides) under uncultured Bacteroidales bacterium. RNAcentral's name for it is "bacterial SSU rRNA". It matches the Rfam family "Bacterial small subunit ribosomal RNA", at positions 100 to 680 of the family's 1533-position model. The record is from RNAcentral. Lineage: Bacteria; Pseudomonadati; Bacteroidota; Bacteroidia; Bacteroidales.
GCACGGGUGAGUAACACGUAUCCAACCUGCCGUCUACUCUUGGACAGCCUUCUGAAAGGAAGAUUAAUACAAGAUGGCAUCAUGAGUCCGCAUGUUCACAUGAUUAAAGGUAUUCCGGUAGACGAUGGGGAUGCGUUCCAUUAGAUAGUAGGCGGGGUAACGGCCCACCUAGUCUUCGAUGGAUAGGGGUUCUGAGAGGAAGGUCCCCCACAUUGGAACUGAGACACGGUCCAAACUCCUACGGGAGGCAGCAGUGAGGAAUAUUGGUCAAUGGGCGAGAGCCUGAACCAGCCAAGUAGCGUGAAGGAUGACUGCCCUAUGGGUUGUAAACUUCUUUUAUAAAGGAAUAAAGUCGGGUAUGCAUACCCGUUUGCAUGUACUUUAUGAAUAAGGAUCGGCUAACUCCGUGCCAGCAGCCGCGGUAAUACGGAGGAUCCGAGCGUUAUCCGGAUUUAUUGGGUUUAAAGGGAGCGUAGAUGGAUGUUUAAGUCAGUUGUGAAAGUUUGCGGCUCAACCGUAAAAUUGCAGUUGAUACUGGAUAUCUUGAGUGCAGUUGAGGCAGGCGGAAUUCGUGGUGUAGCG